CCCCGCUCCCUCCCCCUCCCCGGCCUCUCUUCCCCGGUUCAAAUCAGCAGCAUGUCUGAGGACGGCGUGGACAGAGUGAUUAAGGAAUCCUCCAUAUUAGAUGAGUACGCAAUUAAUUGGACUCAGAAGCUGGGAGCUGGGAUCAGCGGGCCUGUACGAGUAUGCAUGAAAAAGUCAACGGGAGAACGAUUUGCACUAAAGAUUCUCCUUGAUCGCCCAAAAGCAAGAAAUGAGGUUCGACACCACCUGAUGUGUGUGGGCCACAAUAACAUUGUUCAGAUUAUUGAGGUUUAUGCGAACAGCGUUCAGUUCCCCCAUGAGUCCAGUCCAAGGCCUCGGCUGCUAAUUGUGAUGGAGAUGAUGGAAGGUGGGGAGCUGUUUCACAGAAUCAGCCAACACAAGCACUUUACAGAGAAAAUGGCAAGCCAGGUUACUAAACAGAUUGCACUGGCUAUACAGCACUGUCACUCCCUGAACAUUGCCCACAGAGACCUCAAACCUGAAAACCUCCUCUUCAAGGACAACUCUCUGGAUGCACCAGUUAAACUGUGCGACUUUGGAUUUGCCAAAAUCGAUCACGGGGAUCUGAUGACUCCACAGUUCACUCCAUAUUAUGUAGCACCUCAGGUACUGGAAGCCCAGAGGAGACACCAGAAAGAGAAAUCUGGAAUCAUACCUACCUCACCCACUCCCUACACAUACAACAAGAGCUGUGACCUGUGGUCGCUGGGUGUAAUAAUUUACGUGAUGCUAUGCGGAUAUCCACCGUUUUAUUCCAAACACCACAGCCGGACUAUCCCGAAGGACAUGCGGAAAAAGAUCAUGACGGGAAGUUUUGAAUUCCCAGAGGAAGAGUGGAGUCAGAUUUCCGAGAUGGCGAAGGACAUUGUGAGAAAGUUGCUGAAGGUAAAGCCGGAGGAACGACUCAAUAUUGAAGGGGUGCUGGAUCAUCCCUGGCUGAACUCCACAGAAGCUUUAGAUAACAUCCUCCCAUCUUCCCAAAUGAUGAUGGAUAAGGCAAUGGUUGCUGGGAUCCAGCAGGCCCAUGCAGAGCAGCUGGCCAGUAUGAGAAUUCAGGAUCUGAAAGUGAGCCUUAAACCUCUAAACUCUGUUAAUAACCCAAUUCUUCGCAAGAGGAAACUACUUGGCACGAGGCCCAAGGACGGUGUCUAUAUUCAUGAUCCAGAGAAUGAGGCAGAGGAUGCCAAUGUCGCUCUAGAGAAGCUGCGGGAUGUCAUCGCGCAGUGUAUUCUACCGCAAGCUGGAGAGAAUGAAGAUGAGAAGUUGAAUGAGGUGAUGCAGGAGGCUUGGAAAUACAAUAAAGACUGUAAAUUUCUUCGUGACAUGCUGCAGAGCCUCAGCUGGAAUGAGUGCUGCCAACUAAGCUGACAUGGAUGAACAUGCCUGAACUAAGGGGAGAAAAAGUUAUCGAGAACUAUACAGUGAAAUUGGUUAAGGGGCGACGGUUUAAUGAUAAAGUUGAUCGUCUGAAACUUGCAGAAAUGGUCAAACAGGUCAUUGAAGAACAAACAAACUCACAGGAUUCCUAACAUUAGUGCCUGCUGUUUUUACACUGUACCAGGAG
RNA transcript from Carcharodon carcharias (great white shark), 1585 nucleotides. It is a transcript of the gene named MAPK activated protein kinase 5, with no coding region annotated. The transcript is spliced from 15 exons. Lineage: Eukaryota; Metazoa; Chordata; Chondrichthyes; Lamniformes; Lamnidae. The record is from RefSeq and is a predicted model, not a curated record.